GGCUCUUUGCCCACAUAAAUAUAAAGAGUCGAGCCUGCCCAGUGAAUUUUUUUAACGGCCGCGGUACUCUGACCGUGCAAAGGUAGCAUAAUCAUUUGCCUUAUAAUUGAAGGCUAGUAUGAAUGGUUUGACGAGAGCAAUACUGUCUCCUUUUUAUUUUCAAAAACUUAACUUUUAGGUGAAGAGGCCUAAAUUUUAUUGAAGGACAAGAAGACCCUGUCGAGCUUAAAAGACAUUAUAGGAGUCUAAUAUAUUUUUAAAUAAAUUUUCUAUUAGGCUUUUUAGUUGGGGCGACUAGGGAACAAAAAAAGCUUCUUUCUAAUAAAUAAACAAUCAUGUUUAGAUCCGAUAAUAACGAUCAAAGAAAUUAGUUACCGCAGGGAUAACAGCAUAAUCUCUCUUAAGAGACCUAAUCGAAAGAGGGGGUUGUGACCUCGAUGUUGGACUAGAAUAUCCUAAAGAUGCAGAAGUCUUUAAGGGUCGGUCUGUUCGACCGUUAAAAUUCU
RNAcentral lists this ribosomal RNA (506 nucleotides) under Semisulcospira libertina. Its description in RNAcentral is "partial 16S ribosomal RNA". It matches the Rfam family "Bacterial large subunit ribosomal RNA", at positions 1817 to 2597 of the family's 2925-position model. The record is from RNAcentral. Lineage: Eukaryota; Metazoa; Mollusca; Gastropoda; Semisulcospiridae.